AUUGAACGCUGGCGGCAUGCCUUACACAUGCAAGUCGAACGGCAGCACGGGAGCAAUCCUGGUGGCGAGUGGCGAACGGGUGAGUAAUAUAUCGGAACGUGCCCAGUCGUGGGGGAUAACGUAGCGAAAGCUACGCUAAUACCGCAUACGAUCUAUGGAUGAAAGCGGGGGAUCGCAAGACCUCGCGCGAUUGGAGCGGCCGAUAUCAGAUUAGGUAGUUGGUGAGGUAAAGGCUCGCCAAGCCGACGAUCUGUAGCUGGUCUGAGAGGACGACCAGCCACACUGGGACUGAGACACGGCCCAGACUCCUACGGGAGGCAGCAGUGGGGAAUUUUGGACAAUGGGCGCAAGCCUGAUCCAGCAAUGCCGCGUGCAGGAUGAAGGGCCUUCGGGUUGUAAACGUGCUUUGUACGGUACGAAACGGUGAGCUCUAAUACAGUUGUCUAAUGACGGUACCGUAAGAAUAAGAC
This 470-nucleotide ribosomal RNA is filed under the name uncultured bacterium. Its description in RNAcentral is "bacterial SSU rRNA". It matches the Rfam family "Bacterial small subunit ribosomal RNA", at positions 30 to 492 of the family's 1533-position model. The record is from RNAcentral.